This 266-nucleotide ribosomal RNA is filed under the name uncultured bacterium. RNAcentral's name for it is "partial 16S ribosomal RNA". It matches the Rfam family "Bacterial small subunit ribosomal RNA", at positions 793 to 1055 of the family's 1533-position model. The record is from RNAcentral.
GUCCACGCUGUAAACGAUGGAUACUAGGUGUAGGCGGUCAUUAACCCCGUCUGUGCCGAAGCUAACGCGUUAAGUAUCCCGCCUGGGGACUACGGCCGCAAGGUUAAAACUCAAAGGAAUUGACGGGGGCCCGCACAAGCAGCGGAGCGUGUGGUUUAAUUCGAUGAUACGCGAAGAACCUUACCUGGGUUUGACAUAGGGGUAGUAGCGAGGUGAAAGCCGAGCGACACUUCGGGGAGCCUCUACAGGUGCUGCAUGGCUGUAGU